ACCGGACGGGGUAUUGAGGUUCAUGGUUUUGGCGCCCAUACCGGACGGGGUAUGGGGACGGCCCUGGAAACUGAUUAUGAAUGUUAAAGGUUAACGGGUAGCGGAACCCCUAUGGACCCCCACGGAUACUAGUAGGCUGGUAAAUGAGAAAAAGAUAUGUUGUACAAUGAUUGAAUUACAAGAGGCGUGAUAAGUGUUAUGUUUUACAGCUUAUAUUAUUCAAUGAUUAUGAUAAUGUUAUUGUUUUUCUUAUAUUGUUUUCAUAAAUUCCACCGAGGUAAGUGGAUGGUAAAGGUUUUAUCAUAAAUAAAAGGAUUUGUUGUAAAUUAUGCUCCAUUGGUCUUUUGUGUUUUUCUACCCACCUUUACCUCCGUGACGGUGAGAUAUCGUGAUGUUCUUACUGGGCUAGUGUAGCUCACUCCUUAUUUAACCAUUUCAGAUCAGGAAGACAUGGUUCCCGAGCCCGUUCCGCAGGAGGACGACGAAGGG
Molecule: long non-coding RNA, 489 nt
Filed under: Carica papaya (papaya)
Lineage: Eukaryota; Viridiplantae; Streptophyta; Magnoliopsida; Brassicales; Caricaceae
Description: long non-coding RNA (CPAP_LNC014354)
Source: RNAcentral